RNAcentral lists this long non-coding RNA (2093 nucleotides) under Equus caballus (horse). RNAcentral's name for it is "lncRNA (ENSECAG00000056578.1)". The record is from RNAcentral. Lineage: Eukaryota; Metazoa; Chordata; Mammalia; Perissodactyla; Equidae.
CAGGAUCUGAACCUCGAACCCUAGGCUGCCGAAGCAGAGCAUGCGAACUUAACCACUAUGCCACCGGGCCAGCCCCCUCAGGUAUCUGACUUUUUUAAUAGCUUCCUGGUCAUUCUCUUGAGCAUCCUGGAUGAGAAGCACUAACUGAGAAAUGGCCGGUCCGUUAGGGGUGGCCACACCUGGGGGUAGGAGCAAUUUCAACAUGAAAUUUCAUGAGGCACAGUGAAUGACAGCACAGAAGGGAAAUACGCCUUCUCUACCUUCAAGACUAAGCGCAGAUGGGAAAGGAAGAAAUCACAGAGAUUAGCAAACAGAAGCUUUGGCCCUCGGGGAAGGCAAUCUGGCAUUUUCCCAGGAGCCUAUGAAAUAACCUGAGCUUUGCACAGAUUUGCAAGAAAGGGAAGGAGCAGCCGUGGUCUUCUGAUGCUGAAACUUCCCCACAAAGCUGAGGCAUCACUGGAGUGCUCUACCGAGAGAGGCCGUGACUUCCGAGCAGCGUGUGCAACAGGCCGCUGUCUGGGGCAGUCUGCACCCUCCUCUCUGCUCUCUCACUUGGUCCUUGCUGUUAGGAAGCUCCAUCACUCUUUCCCCAGUCUCCAGUUUGCUCAUCUGGGCCAGCCCUCUGUAAUCUCUACCCUGUAAAGUCUACGGUGAGCUUUGUCGCACAUGCCAGGUCCUUGGCUCCCCUCGUAUACCAGUCAAAGGAUCCUUAAACUCAAGCGCAUUUCUUUUGAGGCAACAUUUUAUAAUUCUCAGACUGAGAAAGCAAAACCAUACCCCAGGGUCCAGAGAGAGGCAAUUUGAGAGCUGGCUCAUUCUUUUUUCUUUGUUUAGGAAAGCUAGCUUGUCUGGCUGACUUUCCGUCUCAGCACUUUCUUUCUCAUAAUCUGCCAAGUGCAGGACAUUGUAGGAUUGCAGGCUCUGGAUCCUCGGUCCUGGGCUCGGGCUUGGAUGCUGUGACCCCCCAAACUGCACGUUCGAUUUUACAUCCUCUGCACUCUUCUGUUAUUCAGUCAUGACACAAAAGGAAAAUUAAAUGCCUGUUUCAUACUUACUGAGUUGGGUAAGGCAGUCAAUCUCUCCUCAGAAACACCCCUUAAAGCGUACAGCUAGACUCUAGGAAAUUUGCCACCUGGCUGCCAGACAGAACUGUUCACCGGGCUCUUCAUGUGAUCCUAAGUGCCUUGUCCACUAAAUGCCCCUUGGGACCUCCUUUGAUGGUACAUAAAAUAUACAUGGAAUUCAUUUACAUGGAAUCUGCCUGGUGCUGCUAGAAACCCAGGAUGUCUGACUUCCUUACUGCUUAGAUGCUUUUUUGCCUGUCUCACUGAGAUGAGCAAUGUGACCCAUUACCUCUGGGAGGGUAAUGCUUGGUCUGGUUAUCUUGUUACAAGAUCUAAGUUUAUUUUACCUUUAUAAAAACUAGAACCACAUAUUGUAUGAUUCCAUUGAUAAGAAAUGUCCAGAAUAGGUAAACUCAUUGAGUCAGAAGGUAGAUUAGUGGUUGCCUAGGGUCUGGGGAGUUUGGGGGGAAAAUUGGAGUGGCUGUUUGUGGGUAUGGGGUUUCUUUUAGGGGUGAUGAAAUGUUCUGAAGUUGUUUGUGGUGAUGGUUGCAUGACUGUGAAUAUACUAAAAACCAUUGAGUCAUACACUUUAACUGGGUGAAUUGUAUGGAAUGUAAAUUAUAUCUCAAUAAAGCUGCUAUUUGAAAAAACAAAAGUCAGGGAAAGCACAGGCAACAAUGAGGAGGGUGUGUACGUGAAUUUGUUCCAGGAAAGGAGCCCAACCACCUCCUAUCCCUGAAGGAGAAGAGUCUGGUCUCUUAGCCCAGCUACUCUUACUGUAUACACAGUUUCUAUUUUGGGCCUUUUUAUAGUUUUGUUAUAGUUUGUGAGCAACAGUUAAGUCAAAAACCACAGUGAGGCCUUGGUUACAGUUUAUCCUUGUUUUCGGUCAACAAUAAACAUGACUAAUGUCACCAGGGCUGAAGUCAACCACACACGUGGAUUCAGGAAGUUUGGGACAUGUGCUGGGCACUAGUGGAGCCGGCCAGCGGAGAUUUGGCUCCUUGGAGAGACAGUGGUUGGCUAAAC